Molecule: transfer RNA, 77 nt
Filed under: Clostridioides difficile
Lineage: Bacteria; Bacillati; Bacillota; Clostridia; Peptostreptococcales; Peptostreptococcaceae
Also listed under: 73 other names
Description: tRNA-Arg
Rfam family: tRNA
About the family: Transfer RNA (tRNA) molecules are approximately 80 nucleotides in length.
Source: RNAcentral
GGUUCAGUAGCUCAGUUGGAUAGAGCAACGGCCUUCUAAGCCGUGGGUCGGGGGUUCGAAUCCCUCCUGGAUCACCA